RNAcentral lists this long non-coding RNA (662 nucleotides) under Capsella rubella. RNAcentral's name for it is "long non-coding RNA (CRUB_LNC000514)". The record is from RNAcentral. Lineage: Eukaryota; Viridiplantae; Streptophyta; Magnoliopsida; Brassicales; Brassicaceae.
UUUAAACAAGACUUUAUCCACACUUCUAAACACUCUUUAUGCAUCUCUAGCAUUUGUAAUCAAUCAAAUUUAUUAUAUCCUAACAUAUUCUAAACCCAAACAACACUAGAUAAGUCCUUUAGUGGUUCAACGCAAUAUUUCCGAGUUCUUAGCCCAUUUGGGACCCAAUUUCAACAAGUUUUUCAACACACUUCUAAACACUGUUCAUGCAUCUCUAGCACUUGUAAUCAAUCAAAUUUAUUGUAUUCUAACAUAUUUUAUACCCAAACAACACUAGAUAAGUCCUUUAGUGGUUCAACGCAAUAUUUCCGAGUUCUUAGCCCAUAUGGGACCCAAUUUCAACAAGUCUUUCUCCAUACUUCCAAACACUCUUCAUGCAUCUAUAGUUCUUGUAAUCAAUCAAAUUUAUUGUAUUCUAACAUAUUCUAAACCCAAACAAUACUAGAUAAGUCAUUUAGUGGUUCAACGCAUUGUUUACGAGUUCUUAGCCCAUUUGGGACCCAAUUUCAACAAGUCUUUCUCCACACUUCUAAACACUUUUCAUGCAUUUCUAGCACUUGUAAUCAGUCAAAUUUAUUGUAUUCUAACAUAUUUUAAACCCAAACAACACUAGAUAAGUCAUUUAGUGGUUCAACGCAAUGUUUCCGAGUUCUUAGCCCAUU